RNAcentral lists this ribosomal RNA (497 nucleotides) under uncultured bacterium. RNAcentral's name for it is "partial 16S ribosomal RNA". It matches the Rfam family "Bacterial small subunit ribosomal RNA", at positions 28 to 507 of the family's 1533-position model. The record is from RNAcentral.
GAUGAACGCUGGCGGCGUGCCUAAUACAUGCAAGUCGAGCGAACGGACGAGAAGCUUGCUUCUCUGAUGUUAGCGGCGGACGGGUGAGUAACACGUGGAUAACCUACCUAUAAGACUGGGAUAACUUCGGGAAACCGUAGCCAAUACCGGAUAAUAUUUUGAACCGCAUGGUUCAAAAGUGAAAGACGGUCUUGCUGUCACUUAUAGAUGGAUCCGCGCUGCAUUAGCUAGUUGGUAAGGUAACGGCUUACCAAGGCAACGAUGCAUAGCCGACCUGAGAGGGUGAUCGGCCACACUGGAACUGAGACACGGUCCAGACUCCUACGGGAGGCAGCAGUAGGGAAUCUUCCGCAAUGGGCGAAAGCCUGACGGAGCAACGCCGCGUGAGUGAUGAAGAUCUUCGGAUCGUAAAACUCUGUUAUUAGGGAAGAACAUAUGUGUAAGUAACUGUGCACAUCUUGACGGUACCUAAUCAGAAAGCCACGGCUAACUACGUG